CCUACGGGAGGCAGCAGUCGGGAAUAUUGGGCAAUGGAGGAAACUCUGACCCAGCAAUACCGCGUGAAGGAUGAAGGUUUUCGGAUUGUAAACUUCUGUUAUAAAGGAAGAAAAAAAUGACGGUACUUUAUAAGUAAGCCCCGGCAAACUAUGUGCCAGCAGCCGCGGUGAUACAUAGGGGGCAAGCGUUGUCCGGAAUGACUGGGUGUAAAGGGUGUGUAGGUGGCUUAUUAAGUUAGAGGUGAAAGCCCGAGGCUCAACUUCGGAACUGCCUUUAAAACUGGUUGGCUUGAGUGUGGGAGAGGUAAGUGGAACUCCUAGUGUAGCGGUGGAAUGCGUAGAUAUUAGGAAGAACACCAGUGGCGAAGGCGACUUACUGGACUGUAACUGACGCUGAGGCAUGAGAGCAUGGGGAGCAAACAGGAUUAGAUACCCUUGUAGUC
This 443-nucleotide ribosomal RNA is filed under the name uncultured bacterium. Its description in RNAcentral is "partial 16S ribosomal RNA". It matches the Rfam family "Bacterial small subunit ribosomal RNA", at positions 338 to 795 of the family's 1533-position model. The record is from RNAcentral.